This 439-nucleotide unclassified non-coding RNA is filed under the name Hevea brasiliensis (rubber tree). Lineage: Eukaryota; Viridiplantae; Streptophyta; Magnoliopsida; Malpighiales; Euphorbiaceae. The record is from RNAcentral.
GCCAAGCGUGGCUGGAGGAUACGACCAUAGGAAGUCUGCCGAGAAGGGUUACACACAACAUAGGCUCCAGUUGUCAUAAAAAUGGGCCCCCUUCAUCAUUUGAGCACUACUUUUGUACAAUGGUGCACAUAGAAACAGAGAAUUACAAGCAAUAGUGAUUUCAAAUCCAAUUCUUGGACAAAACUUGAGAAAGAAUAAUGAAGCUAGCAACAGCUGUUUGUUAGUGCGGCUUGUAUUAUAGGCAGAGGCUUUGGCGUGCUCUUUUCCACACAUCUAGCAGCUCUUAGAUUUUGUUCAGGAUAAUUUUUAUACCGUACGGUGGAAUAUAUAUUUGUUGUAAAUUGGUUCUUUUUAUUUGAGAAAAAUAAGUAGAGUUUUAAAAUGAUUUUUGUUAAGAGCUACUGUUGAACCAAACAGAUAUGAAACUGACCACUGGUUU